AGUCGUAACAAGGUUUCCGUAGGUGAACCUGCGGAAGGAUCAUUAACAAAUCUAUAAAUGUUUGUGAUAUUUUUGUUGUUAUUUAUAAUAGCGCAAAUUUUCACAUAACACUUAAUCCGGAUCUCCGAGAGGAGAUUCGCCUGUAAACAUUGUUUAAUAAUAUAAUAGUAAUAAUAUACUAUUAUUAUUAUUAUGAUAUUGUCUACAGAAAUAGGCUAUGUAUUGUAUGUCUUAUAAACAAAAAUUAUUAAAUUAUAACAACUUUUAACAAUGGAUCUCUUGGCUCUU
This 288-nucleotide unclassified non-coding RNA is filed under the name fungal sp. Its description in RNAcentral is "partial internal transcribed spacer region". The stretch from base 1 to 45 matches the Rfam family "Eukaryotic small subunit ribosomal RNA", at positions 1787 to 1831 of the family's 1831-position model. The record is from RNAcentral. Lineage: Eukaryota; Fungi.